RNAcentral lists this ribosomal RNA (913 nucleotides) under uncultured archaeon. RNAcentral describes it as "bacterial SSU rRNA". It matches the Rfam family "Archaeal small subunit ribosomal RNA", at positions 1 to 922 of the family's 1478-position model. The record is from RNAcentral.
UUCCGGUUGAUCCCGCCAGACUGACUGCUAUCGGAUUGAUACUAAGCCAUGCGAGUCAUUGUAGCAAUACAAGGCAGACGGCUCAGUAACGCGUAGUCAAUCUAACCUAUGGACGGGAAUAACCUCGGGAAACUGAGAAUAAUGCCCGAUAGAACACUAUGCCUGGAAUGGUUUGUGUUUCAAAUGAUUUAUCGCCAUAGGAUGGGACUGCGGCCUAUCAGUUUGUUGGUGAGGUAAUGGCCCACCAAGACUAUUACAGGUACGGGCUCUGAGAGGAGUAGCCCGGAGAUGGGUACUGAGACACGGACCCAGGCCCUAUGGGGCGCAGCAGGCGAGAAAACUUUGCAAUGUGCGAAAGCACGACAAGGUUAAUCCGAGUGGUUUGUGCUAAACAGACCUUUUGUUAGUCCUAGAAACACUAACGAAUAAGGGGUGGGCAAGUUCUGGUGUCAGCCGCCGCGGUAAAACCAGCACCUCAAGUGGUCAGGAUGAUUAUUGGGCCUAAAGCAUCCGUAGCCGGCUCAGUAAGUUUUCGGUUAAAUCUGUAUGCUCAACAUACAGGCUGCCGGGAAUACUGCAGAGCUAGGGAGUGGGAGAGGUAGACGGUACUCGGUAGGAAGGGGUAAAAUCCUUUGAUCUAUUGAUGACCACCUGUGGCGAAGGCGGUCUACCGGAACACGUCCGACGGUGAGGGAUGAAAGCUGGGGGAGCAAACCGGAUUAGAUACCCGGGUAGUCCCAGCUGUAAACUAUGCAAACUCAGUGAUGCAUUGGCUUGUGGCUAAUGCAGUGCUGCAGGGAAGCCGUUAAGUUUGCCGCCUGGGAAGUACGUACGCAAGUAUGAAACUUAAAGGAAUUGGCGGGGGAGCACCACAAGGGGUGAAGCCUGCGGUUCAAUUGGAUUCAACGCCGGG